RNAcentral lists this ribosomal RNA (515 nucleotides) under uncultured bacterium. RNAcentral describes it as "partial 16S ribosomal RNA". It matches the Rfam family "Bacterial small subunit ribosomal RNA", at positions 28 to 523 of the family's 1533-position model. The record is from RNAcentral.
GAUGAACGCUGGCGGCGUGCCUAAUACAUGCAAGUCGAGCGAAUGGAUUAAGAGCUUGCUCUUAUGAAGUUAGCGGCGGACGGGUGAGUAACACGUGGGUAACCUGCCCAUAAGACUGGGACAACUCCGGGAAACCGGGGCUAAUACCGGAUAAUAUUUUGAACUGCAUGGUUCGAAAUUGAAAGGCGGCUUCGGCUGUCACUUAUUGAUGGACCCGCGUCGCAUCAGCUAGUUGGUGAGGUAACGGCUCACCAAGGCAACGAUGCGUAGCCGACCUGAGAGGGUGAUCGGCCACACUGGGACUGAGACACGGCCCAGACUCCUACGGGAGGCAGCAGUAGGGAAUCUUCCGCAAUGGACGAAAGUCUGACGGAGCAACGCCGCGUGAGUGAUGAAGGCUUUCGGGUCGUAAAACUCUGUUGUUAGGGAAGAACAAGUGCUAGUUGAAUAAGCUGGCACCUUGACGGUACCUAACCUGAAAGCCACGGCUAACUACGUGCCAGCCGCCGCGGUAA